GAGCAAUUUAACUAAUUUUCAGAGUAUAAGAGCAAUAUAUUAAGUAUGAUUGCAAAGUUCUUUUAUGAUGUAAAAAUAUUGUGGCAUAAACACCAAAACAUGAAUUCAUGCAAUUUAUGAUAUAUCUUAGAGCAUACAUAAAAUUCAAGGCUUUGAAGAUUCUUUUAAAGCUCUUUUAAAGACUUUAUUCCUUUAAAAAA
This 200-nucleotide long non-coding RNA is filed under the name Phoenix dactylifera (date palm). RNAcentral describes it as "long non-coding RNA (PDAC_LNC013539)". The record is from RNAcentral. Lineage: Eukaryota; Viridiplantae; Streptophyta; Magnoliopsida; Arecales; Arecaceae.